Molecule: ribosomal RNA, 497 nt
Filed under: uncultured bacterium
Lineage: Bacteria
Description: partial 16S ribosomal RNA
Rfam family: Bacterial small subunit ribosomal RNA
Source: RNAcentral
GAUGAACGCUGGCGGCGUGCCUAAUACAUGCAAGUCGAGCGAACGGACGAGAAGCUUGCUUCUCUGAUGUUAGCGGCGGACGGGUGAGUAACACGUGGAUAACCUACCUAUAAGACUGGGAUAACUUCGGGAAACCGGAGCUAAUACCGGAUAAUAUUUUGAACCGCAUGGUUCAAAAGUGAAUGACGGUCUUGCUGUCACUUAUAGAUGGAUCCGCGCUGCAUUAGCUAGUUGGUAAGGUAACGGCUUACCAAGGCAACGAUGCAUAGCCGACCUGAGAGGGUGAUCGGCCACACUGGAACUGAGACACGGUCCAGACUCCUACGGGAGGCAGCAGUAGGGAAUCUUCCGCAAUGGGCGAAAGCCUGACGGAGCAACGCCGCGUGAGUGAUGAAGGUCUUCGGAUCGUAAAACUCUGUUAUUAGGGAAGAACAUAUGUGUAAGUAACUGUGCACAUCUUGACGGUACCUAAUCAGAAAGCAACGGCUAACUACGUG